AAUGGGUCAGCGACUUAUAUUCUGUAGCAAGGUUAACCGAAUAGGGGAGCCGGAGGGAAACCGAGUCUUAAUUGGGCGUUAAGUUGCAGGGUAUAGACCCGAAACCCGGUGAUCUAGCCAUGGGCAGGUUGAAGGUUGGGUAACACUAACUGGAGGACCGAACCGACUAAUGUUGAAAAAUUAGCGGAUGACCUGUGGCUGGGGGUGAAAGGCCAAUCAAACCGGGAGAUAGCUGGUUCUCCCCGAAAGCUAUUUAGGUAGCGCCUCGUGAAUUCAUCUCCGGGGGUAGAGCACUGUUUCGGCUAGGGGGCCAUCCCGGCUUACCAACCCGAUGCAAACUGCGAAUACCGGAGAAUGUUAUCACGGGAGACACACGGCGGGUGCUAACGUCCGUCGUGAAGAGGGAAACAACCCAGACCGCCAGCUAAGGUCCCAAAGUCAUGGUUAAGUGGGAAACGAUGUGGGAAGGCCCAGACAGCCAGGAUGUUGGCUUAGAAGCAGCCAUCAUUUAAAGAAAGCGUAAUAGCUCACUGGUCGAGUCGGCCUGCGCGGAAGAUGUAACGGGGCUAAACCAUGCACCGAAGCUGCGGCAGCGACGCUUAUGCGUUGUUGGGUAGGGGAGCGUUCUGUAAGCCUGUGAAGGUGUGUCGUGAGGCAUGCUGGAGGUAUCAGAAGUGCGAAUGCUGACAUAAGUAACGAUAAAGCGGGUGAAAAGCCCGCUCGCCGGAAGACCAAGGGUUCCUGUCCAACGUUAAUCGGGGCAGGGUGAGUCGACCCCUAAGGCGAGGCCGAAAGGCGUAGUCGAUGGGAAACGGGUUAAUAUUCCCGUACUUGGUGUUACUGCGAAGGGGGGACGGAGAAGGCUAUGUUGGCCGGGCGACGGUUGUCCCGGUUUAAGCGUGUAGGUGUGUGUUCCAGGUAAAUCCGGUUCACUUUAACACUGAGGCGUGAUGACGAGGCACUACGGUGCUGAAGUAACAAAUGCCCUGCUUCCAGGAAAAGCCUCUAAGCAUCAGGUAACAUCAAAUCGUACCCCAAACCGACACAGGUGGUCAGGUAGAGAAUACCAAGGCGCUUGAGAGAACUCGGGUGAAGGAACUAGGCAAAAUGGUGCCGUAACUUCGGGAGAAGGCACGCUGACACGUAGGUGAAGUGAUUUACUCAUGGAGCUGAAGUCAGUCGAAGAUACCAGCUGGCUGCAACUGUUUAUUAAAAACACAGCACUGUGCAAACACGAAAGUGGACGUAUACGGUGUGACGCCUGCCCGGUGCCGGAAGGUUAAUUGAUGGGGUCAGCGCAAGCGAAGCUCCUGAUCGAAGCCCCGGUAAACGGCGGCCGUAACUAUAACGGUCCUAAGGUAGCGAAAUUCCUUGUCGGGUAAGUUCCGACCUGCACGAAUGGCGUAAUGAUGGCCAGGCUGUCUCCACCCGAGACUCAGUGAAAUUGAACUCGCUGUGAAGAUGCAGUGUACCCGCGGCAAGACGGAAAGACCCCGUGAACCUUUACUAUAGCUUGACACUGAACAUUGAGCCUUGAUGUGUAG
Molecule: ribosomal RNA, 1544 nt
Filed under: Salmonella enterica subsp. enterica
Lineage: Bacteria; Pseudomonadati; Pseudomonadota; Gammaproteobacteria; Enterobacterales; Enterobacteriaceae
Description: partial 23S ribosomal RNA
Rfam family: Bacterial large subunit ribosomal RNA
Source: RNAcentral